RNAcentral lists this ribosomal RNA (497 nucleotides) under uncultured bacterium. RNAcentral's name for it is "partial 16S ribosomal RNA". It matches the Rfam family "Bacterial small subunit ribosomal RNA", at positions 28 to 507 of the family's 1533-position model. The record is from RNAcentral.
GAUGAACGCUGGCGGCGUGCCUAAUACAUGCAAGUCGAGCGAACAGACGAGGAGCUUGCUCCUCUGACGUUAGCGGCGGACGGGUGAGUAACACGUGGAUAACCUACCUAUAAGACUGGGAUAACUUCGGGAAACCGGAGCUAAUACCGGAUAAUAUAUUGAACCGCAUGGUUCAAUAGUGAAAGACGGUUUUGCUGUCACUUAUAGAUGGAUCCGCGCCGCAUUAGCUAGUUGGCAAGGUAACGGCUUACCAAGGCAACGAUGCGUAGCCGACCUGAGAGGGUGAUCGGCCACACUGGAACUGAGACACGGUCCAGACUCCUACGGGAGGCAGCAGUAGGGAAUCUUCCGCAAUGGGCGAAAGCCUGACGGAGCAACGCCGCGUGAGUGACGAAGGUCUUCGGAUCGUAAAACUCUGUUAUUAGGGAAGAACAAAUGUGUAAGUAACUAUGCACGUCUUGACGGUACCUAAUCAGAAAGCCACGGCUAACUACGUG